GAUGAAGAACGCAGCGAAAUGCGAUACUUGGUGUGAAUUGCAGAAUCCCGUGAACCAUCGAGUCUUUGAACGCAAGUUGCGCCCGAAGCCACUAGGCCGAGGGCACGCCUGCCUGGGCGUCACACGCCGUUGCCCCCCCAUCUACUCCUUCGGGAUUGCGGGGGGGCGGAUGAUGGUCUCCCGUGCGCCUAGCCGCGCGGUUGGCAUAAAUACCAAGUCCUCGGCGACGCACGCCACGACAAUCGGUGGUUGCGAAACCUCGGUUGCCCGUCGUGUGCGUUCGUCGCGCAUCGAGGGCUCGAAAAAAUGCUCGGCUCCGGCUGGGCUUUCAACGCGACCCCAGGUCAGGCGGGGUUACCCGCUGAAUUUAAGCAUAUCAAUAAGCGGAGGA
RNAcentral lists this unclassified non-coding RNA (391 nucleotides) under soil metagenome. Its description in RNAcentral is "partial contains 5.8S ribosomal RNA, internal transcribed spacer 2, and large subunit ribosomal RNA". The stretch from base 1 to 122 matches the Rfam family "5.8S ribosomal RNA", at positions 35 to 154 of the family's 154-position model. The record is from RNAcentral.